RNAcentral lists this long non-coding RNA (1135 nucleotides) under Megachile rotundata (alfalfa leafcutting bee). RNAcentral describes it as "uncharacterized LOC105662923, transcript variant X1". Lineage: Eukaryota; Metazoa; Arthropoda; Insecta; Hymenoptera; Megachilidae. The record is from RNAcentral.
GUUUGUUCGUCGAAUUCGACGCUUCUGCAGAAAUAUUUUUCUGCUCUGAGACAAAGAGCUUGACACUCGUCCAAAGUAAGGUGUUCUCCAAGUAGUCGGAAUUUGGGUCGUCUUCAAGUAGCUCUGGAUGAGUUCUCCUGGUAAAACGACUUAGAGCACAGCUUCUCAGUGCUGUGUCAUAGGUUGCAGAUCGACAGAUGAAGCUGAACUCGUUUAGACAUCUUUGAAGCAAAGAAGAAAACACAUCAAGUGUAAUUAAUCAUAAACUUUUCAUUUGUGGUUCGAAGCCCAGCUAGUUACGAUAAUCAAGCAGAUAAUGGACAAGUAAUAAUGUAAUGCUUGAAAGUUGGAAACACGGUCCGUUGCUUUUACGGGCGUGUGGUCCUUUGCCCUCGUGUAUGUACUUACACAUAUGUACGCAUACAACUUGCAGAGGAAAAGGUUCAUGGGGGUGCGAGCAUGUGGAGGUGUUCAGGACAAAAUUAACUUAAUGGCAAAGGUGACUAGAUCCUCCAGCGACCAACUGUAGCCCGCAAUUAUGAACGGAAUGUAUCAAUUUGCAAAUGAUCAAUUAUCCCACACGUGCCUGUCUGUUAAAGGGGAUGGAUGCUUGUUCAGUGAUUAACGUUACGGUCGACGAGAGAAAAUUACAGAUUUGGUCAUUCGAGUACUCGUAAUACUAUAUUCAAACGAUACUGUGAUUACAGAUUAUUGAAUUUCCUUAAUUGUUCUGUUCGCUAUUGAACAAAACUGGUCGAGACUAAACAGUGAAUGUAGGGAAAGGUAACAAUGGUAUGUAACAAAGAUUUAAGCUGUUGUAAGAGGGAGUUUUGAUGGAGGGAUGUUUUGUGGUGGUGACUGUUAUAUGGCUGUGUGUGGUUUGUGGAAUUGGAGAUUUGGGAGUUUUAAAUUUUGUGAUUUGAUUUCGCAGAAGAACCGCCUGCUCCGCAAGUUCUUCCUCAUCAACUCGUAGGACCUCGAUCAGCUUCCUACUAAAACGAUCCCAAGAAAAAACCCACUAGAACCGGCCAUCCAACGCGAAUGGCACCUGUAAUCAAACUGGCGGUCAAAAUCAGCGCAAACAGUGAAAAUAAUGGAUAACACCUGACAAAUAGGUAGGGGAAGAGAUGGCGAU